Molecule: small RNA, 581 nt
Filed under: Malus domestica (apple)
Lineage: Eukaryota; Viridiplantae; Streptophyta; Magnoliopsida; Rosales; Rosaceae
Description: sRNA MD11G0191500
Source: RNAcentral
AUGAUAUUGUCUCUUAUUUAUUGGUACAACAUAUACAACGUAGGAUUAAAUAUUCAGAAAGCAAAGUCUUAAGCCUCUGAAAUGGUUUGCUUUUGUUUUCUAGUAGACCAGAGGAGGAAGGUGUGGCGGACCAAGCCGGUGGCUGGAACAUGUUCAAGAUGUGGGAGCGGAGCAAGCGUGGCUGACAUAAAGACUUCGACUAGGUUUUGCUAUAUUCCGUUUUACUGGAAAUCUUGGAAGGCCAUCAUGUGCACUUUUUGUGGAUCCAUUCUCAAAUCUUACAGAUAAAAAUUCUGCAGACUGGCUCUUGCUUUUUUAUCUUUAUUUCUCUGACCUUUCCGUAUAUUAGGUUGAGCUCUCGACUGUUUUUUUUUUUUUUUAAUUUUCAUUUAUACUUUUAAGUAUUUUGUAUAAUAUUUUUUGGUGUGAGGAAAAGUGUGUAGAGCUGUAUAUAUAAGCUGCUUGAUGUUUGCUAAUGCUGGAGUAUGCAGUUAUGAAGGAAAAUUUUCUCUUGUGAGGAGUAUUAUGAAGAAGUGGAUAAUUAGUUUUAAUUAACUCCGAUUACUAAAAACUGCUUGUUA